AUACGAAGGGGGCUAGCGUUGCUCGGAAUUACUGGGCGUAAAGGGCGCGUAGGCGGACAUUUUAGUCAGAGGUGAAAGCCCAGGGCUCAACCUUGGAAUAGCCUUUGAUACUGACUGUCUUGAGUACGGGAGAGGUGUGUGGAACUCCGAGUGUAGAGGUGAAAUUCGUAGAUAUUCGGAAGAACACCAGUGGCGAAGGCGACACACUGGCCCGUUACUGACGCUGAGGCGCGAAAGCGUGGGGAGC
RNAcentral lists this ribosomal RNA (247 nucleotides) under uncultured bacterium. RNAcentral describes it as "partial 16S ribosomal RNA". It matches the Rfam family "Bacterial small subunit ribosomal RNA", at positions 523 to 769 of the family's 1533-position model. The record is from RNAcentral.